Molecule: ribosomal RNA, 524 nt
Filed under: Escherichia coli
Lineage: Bacteria; Pseudomonadati; Pseudomonadota; Gammaproteobacteria; Enterobacterales; Enterobacteriaceae
Description: partial 23S ribosomal RNA
Rfam family: Bacterial large subunit ribosomal RNA
Source: RNAcentral
GCGAUACAGGGUGACAGCCCCGUACACAAAAAUGCACAUGCUGUGAGCUCGAUGAGUAGGGCGGGACACGUGGUAUCCUGUCUGAAUAUGGGGGGACCAUCCUCCAAGGCUAAAUACUCCUGACUGACCGAUAGUGAACCAGUACCGUGAGGGAAAGGCGAAAAGAACCCCGGCGAGGGGAGUGAAAAAGAACCUGAAACCGUGUACGUACAAGCAGUGGGAGCCUCUUUAUGGGGUGACUGCGUACCUUUUGUAUAAUGGGUCAGCGACUUAUAUUCUGUAGCAAGGUUAACCGAAUAGGGGAGCCGAAGGGAAACCGAGUCUUAACUGGGCGUUAAGUUGCAGGGUAUAGACCCGAAACCCGGUGAUCUAGCCAUGGGCAGGUUGAAGGUUGGGUAACACUAACUGGAGGACCGAACCGACUAAUGUUGAAAAAUUAGCGGAUGACUUGUGGCUGGGGGUGAAAGGCCAAUCAAACCGGGAGAUAGCUGGUUCUCCCCGAAAGCUAUUUAGGUAGCGCCUCG